This 2852-nucleotide long non-coding RNA is filed under the name Nicotiana tabacum (common tobacco). Its description in RNAcentral is "long non-coding RNA (NTAB_LNC006374)". Lineage: Eukaryota; Viridiplantae; Streptophyta; Magnoliopsida; Solanales; Solanaceae. The record is from RNAcentral.
ACACAAGACUCCCCCUUCACAUUAAAAUCAUCACACCCACCCAUCUAUAUAGUACACACACACAUAGAAACAGGGAGGAUGGUGAGCAACAACGGAUAAAGGGGACAAGGCAAAGAAAUUUUCCAUACAAAUGCACUGUAAUUUCCACUUCAAAAUGAGAAUUCACUCAAGAAUACUUUGAAGGGAAAAGAUCAAACCAUAGCUUCUAAAGCAGGUCCCCACUGUGGCUCCACCUAUUUCGUCGUCAAUCACCAAAACCAAAUUCACCACCGUCGUCCUUUUGCCGGAACUGAUUCACUCACUUACGACACCAGACGGAGUAUUUGGCGUCUUAGUCGAUCUGAGUUUCAGUCCAAGUUCUCGCUCGUACUUGACAAGUUGUCGCGUUUUGGAUCGCCGACAAGGUUCCGGUUUGUUAAUUUCGGUGUGUCAGUAUGAGGAUUGUUGCUUGGUUUAACCCGAUUGAUUUGCAAUUUUCAGCUUUGAAGCAAUAAAGGUCCGAUUUUCUUAAUCACUCUUAUUGAUAUAUUACAUGUACUUGGUGUUUAAUUUGAGUUUAUUUUACACUUGUAGCCUAAAGUGACAUGUUGUGCAAUUGUUGGAAUUAUUCAUCUGUUUGUUGGAAUUUUUGUCGAUGGAUAUCUUAUUUGUUCUUUGGAAAUCAUAUCUAAUGUACAAUCAAUUGAAUGUUGAAGUAAUUGUAAGUAAACGGAAUUUUCAUUAUACUUUACGUAUUUUGAAACUACAAUAUAUAUUAUUAGUUGUUGUUCUUCUCCAUUUUGAAAUGUUACGAGUUGUCUUAGAAAUUGUGCUCAAAAUUGUAGUAGAAUUCCAAAAGUUGUCAAAUGACAGUAUUAAAGGAGCAAAUUUGGCUUCAAAUGUUUAGUUUGAAUGUUAUAAAUACUUGUUGCUUUUGGUCAAGUAUAUUGAUUAAUCCUCAAUGUAUUUUCAAUUUCUUAAUAAUUAAAGGUGAUAAUUUAGUUAGUUUUAUUAUUAAAAUUAGUGCUAAGAUCUGUUGCUCCCAGUCACGUGAGCUUUGUUUUUAUCUAUGGUUAUUAAUGUGUUUGGUUGAUGAUAAUCCUUCGCCGUAUUUAACUCCUUCAUUCAUGUCAUUCACUGUUUGUCCGCUCCCUUAUAGCUUAGGAGAUGAAGAACAUAUGAACAUCGUAGCCUGCUUUUGGCGCGAUUAAUUUUAAAUUAUUGUGGUCAUGGGUACGGCUCCCGUGGCAUGGUCAUGAUACGUAAAUCUCAAUCGAGGCGUGCCAUUAGUUGAAUUUCCAUGACCCUCGCAAAUUUGGAAGUGCGUAGUUGCUUUAGGAGCUCUAUUAAAAAUUAUUUUCUUAAAUUCGGGUGCGUAUUGAUGCGACCCAAAUCCAAAUCUCGAUGAAGUCAAAAUGUGUUGACAAUCACGGGCGCAUUGAUUGCGACGGGGUUCGAAACGCGUUUUCACGACAUCGUAAUUCUUAUAAAAUAAAUAAUGAUAGAAAAGAGGUUCACAAAUUGAGACAAGCCUCACCGAACAAAAAUAAAUAAAUGUGGGGCCCUCAAUAAAUGGUUAUUAAAAAUGAUUAGAAUUUGGGAGGGCCAUUUAGCGAACUUUACGGCCUUCCCCAAAAUAAAAUUAAGUUAGAAUCUUUAGGCGCAAUUUUAAUUAAAUUACCUUCUUAAACUCGGGUGCGCAUUGAUGCUACCCAAAUCCAAAUCUCGACGAAGUCGAAAUAUGUUGACAACCACGAGUGCAUUGAUUGCGACGCGGUUCGAAAUGCAUUUUCACGUCGUCGCAAUUCUUUUAAAAUAAAUAAUGAUAAAAAGCGGUUUACGAAUAAAAGGCACAUAAGCUAGCAUGUAUUAAAAUUAGAUAAGAUCAAAUACGAUAGUUGAGCGACCGUUCUAGAAGCAUGGAACCCGGGAAUGCCUAACACCUUCUCCCGGGUUAACAGAAUUCCUUACUCGGAUUUCUUGUUUGCAGAUUGUAACAGAGUCAUAUUUUUCCUCGGUUCGGGAUUCAACCGGUGACUUGGGACACCAUUAAUCUCCCAAGUGCCGACUCUGAAUUCUUAAUAAAUAAAUCCCGUUCCGAUUGACCUUUAAUUGGAAAAACUCCUUUACGUCCUUGCGGGAGUAGUGAAAAAGGAGGUGUGACAACUUUGACGACUCUGUUGGGGAUCGAACCCAGAAUCUCUGGUUCAGGGUUCAGAAUUCGAGCUUAGAUAAAUUGUUGUAUUUGGUUGUAUCUGAUUUUCCUAUAUGUUUUGUGCUGAAUGUGCUAAAUGUUACCGCUUCGAUAUUAUCUGAACUGUAUAUAAACUAUGCCGACACCCUUCUCUCUUCACCUCCGGGGAUGUGCUUACUGGUUGAGACUCCCUAUUCUGUUAGUGUCAUACCUUGAAAUAAGAAAGUGGCCGGACAAGUUACUAAGCCGGAUGACCUUUUGGUUCCCGGAAAGUUGCCCCCUCCUCGACUCGAGUCGUCCACUCGGGUACACAGUCUAGAACACCGACCCAAGUUUUGAAUAUAGAAUAACAUGACUUCAUGCCGGAUUCCUAGUAGGAACGAUUAUUUGCAUCAUGCUGCAUUUGACUUAGGGGACUUAACACAAGGGUUGUGUUUGUCUAGGGCAAGCAACCUGAAAUGAAAGGACCAUCCUGAUGCAUCCUACUUGCUCUGUACAUAUAUUUGUUUCGAACCUGCAUGUUGACCAGUUUCUGAAUCUCCAGAAUGUUGAAAAAUCGAAAAAAAGAGAAAUAACAGAAAAAUCAAGUACUGUCGAAACUCUGCCGAACAGUUGUUUUCGGACAGUUGUUUGUUGAAAAAGAAAAUGGAAAAGAGUUUUUAUUUUAGUUUGGAAAAAU